GAUGAACGCUAGCGGGAGGCCUAACACAUGCAAGCCGAGCGGUAUUGUUUCUUCGGAAAUGCGAGAGCGGCGUACGGGUGCGUAACACGUGUGCAACCUGCCUUUAUCUGGGGGAUAGCCUUUCGAAAGGAAGAUUAAUACUCCAUAAUAUAUUGAACGGCAUCGUUUAAUAUUGAAAGCUCCGGCGGAUAGAGAUGGGCACGCGCAAGAUUAGCUAGUUGGUGAGGUAACGGCUCACCAAGGCGAUGAUCUUUAGGGGGCCUGAGAGGGUGAUCCCCCACACUGGUACUGAGACACGGACCAGACUCCUACGGGAGGCAGCAGUGAGGAAUAUUGGGCGAUGGGUGCAGGCCUGAACCAGCCAUCCCGCGUGAAGGACGACUGCCCUAUGGGUUGUAAACUUCUUUUGUAUAGGGAUAAACCUACCCUCGAGAGGGUAGCUGAAGGUACUAUACGAAUAAGCACCGGCUAACUCCGUG
Molecule: ribosomal RNA, 479 nt
Filed under: uncultured bacterium
Lineage: Bacteria
Description: partial 16S ribosomal RNA
Rfam family: Bacterial small subunit ribosomal RNA
Source: RNAcentral